Molecule: signal recognition particle RNA, 299 nt
Filed under: Saimiri boliviensis boliviensis (Bolivian squirrel monkey)
Lineage: Eukaryota; Metazoa; Chordata; Mammalia; Primates; Cebidae
Description: Metazoan signal recognition particle RNA (ENSSBOG00000003962.1)
Rfam family: Metazoan signal recognition particle RNA
About the family: The signal recognition particle (SRP) is a universally conserved ribonucleoprotein. It is involved in the co-translational targeting of proteins to membranes. The eukaryotic SRP consists of a 300-nucleotide 7S RNA and six proteins: SRPs 72, 68, 54, 19, 14, and 9.
Source: RNAcentral
GCUGGGUGCGGUCGCACGUCCCUGUAGUCCCAGCUACUCGGGAGGCUGAGGUGGGAGGAUCGCUUGAGCCCAGGAGAUCUGGGCUGUAGUGCGCUAUGCCGAUCGGGUGUCUGCACUAAGUUCAGCAUCAGUAUGGUGACCUCCCGGGAGUGGGGGACCACCAGGUUGCCUAAGGAGGGGUGAACCGGCCCAGGUCGGAAAUGGAGCAGGUCAAACCUCCCGUGCUGAUCAGUAGUGGGAUCUCGCCUGUGAAUAGCCACUGCACUCCAGCCUGGGCAACAUAGUGAGACCCCGUCUCU